UUUCGUGUUACAACCUAUGGAGAAUCUCAUGGAGGAGGAGUUGGGUGUGUGAUUGAUGGAUGUCCUCCACGCUUGCCGAUUUCGGAAGCUGAUUUGCAAGUGGAACUUGACAGAAGGAGACCAGGUCAGAGUAGAAUUACCACUCCAAGAAAGGAGACUGAUACAUGUCGGAUACUUUCAGGAGUCACUAAUGGACUAACUACUGGAACACCAAUUCAUAUCUUUGUACCAAAUACCGAUCAGAGAGGACAUGUAAGUUGCUUAGU
Molecule: non-coding RNA, 266 nt
Organism: Cucurbita pepo subsp. pepo (vegetable marrow)
Lineage: Eukaryota; Viridiplantae; Streptophyta; Magnoliopsida; Cucurbitales; Cucurbitaceae
Source: RefSeq, a predicted model, not a curated record